This 253-nucleotide ribosomal RNA is filed under the name uncultured bacterium. Its description in RNAcentral is "partial 16S ribosomal RNA". It matches the Rfam family "Bacterial small subunit ribosomal RNA", at positions 524 to 776 of the family's 1533-position model. The record is from RNAcentral.
UACGUAGGUGGCAAGCGUUAUCCGGAAUUACUGGGCGUAAAGCGCACGCAGGCGGCCAUUUAAGUCUGACGUGAAAGCUCCCGGCUUAACUGGGAGAGGUCGUUGGAAACUGGGUGGCUUGAGGCAAUGAGAGGGGUGUAGAAUUCCUGGUGUAGUGGUGGAAUGCGUAGAUAUCAGGAGGAAUACCAGUGGCGAAAGCGGCACCCUGGCAUUGGCCUGACGCUCAUGUGCGAAAGCGUGGGGAGCGAACGGG